GACGAACGCUGGCGGCGCGCUUAACACAUGCAAGUCGAACGGAAAGGCCUGCUUUCCCUUGUGGAUUGCGGGUACUAGAGUGGCGAACGGGUGAGUAACACGUGCGUGAUCUGCCCCCAACUUGGGUAUAAGCCUGGGAAACUGGGUCUAAUUCCCGCUAGGUCUGCAGGGUGGUGCCUGAGGUGGAAAACGAUUGUGUAGUGGUUGGGGAUGAGCUCGCGGCCUAUCAGCUGGUUGGUGGGGUAAUGGCCUACCAAGGCGGCGACGGGUAGCCGGCCUGGGAGGGUGGACCGCCGCAUUGGAACGGAGAUACGGCCCAGGCGCCAACGGGAGGCAGCAUUGGGGAAUAUGGCGCGAUGGGCAGAGGCCUGAGGCAGCGACGCCGCGUGGGCGAUGCCGGCCGUCGGGUUGUAAACUCCUUGCUACCGCGAGGAAGCCACCUGGUUGGAAGGUUGGUGACGGUAGUGGUAGAAGAAGCACCGGCUAACUACGUG
This 494-nucleotide ribosomal RNA is filed under the name uncultured bacterium. Its description in RNAcentral is "partial 16S ribosomal RNA". It matches the Rfam family "Bacterial small subunit ribosomal RNA", at positions 28 to 507 of the family's 1533-position model. The record is from RNAcentral.